UCCCAUUUCCGUACCUCAAAU
RNAcentral lists this non-coding RNA (21 nucleotides) under Caenorhabditis elegans. The record is from RNAcentral. Lineage: Eukaryota; Metazoa; Nematoda; Chromadorea; Rhabditida; Rhabditidae.